This 388-nucleotide unclassified non-coding RNA is filed under the name Hevea brasiliensis (rubber tree). Lineage: Eukaryota; Viridiplantae; Streptophyta; Magnoliopsida; Malpighiales; Euphorbiaceae. The record is from RNAcentral.
GAGGAAAUCAAUUUAAAAGAUAACAUGGAAUUUGGAAACUUGUUAUUUCAGCUUGGAAAAUUGUUACUUUAGCUUCUUUUAUUAGAUGACAAGUUUGGGAUCACUCUUCUUUAUCAGGGGUGCUGCAGUACACUUUUGGAAUUCCUCUCAGAGGACUCAGUAUGUUCAAUCUUGCUUGCGGGUUCAUUGAAAUUCCUCAAUGCUAUUUUGAUGAGGUGCAAGGGAGUAAAGGAGUUGUUUGGAUGGGAAAUGGUGGAUGAGUUGCUGGCAAAUUCAACUCCUGACCUCAUUUUCCAAGAGAGGUUUCAGUCUCUCAAUGACUUACUGACAUUUGUGAGAUUUCCCUUGUUUUCAUAUCACUUGCUGAAGAAGUUGGGGUAGAGCAAUC